GAUGAGUCAUCCCUGAUACUUUAAGUAUCCUAAAGGGUUGUUGGAGACUACGACGUAGAUAGGCAGGGUGUGUAAGCGCUGUGAGGCGUUGAGCUAACCUGUACUAAUUGCCCGUGAGGCUUAACCAUACAACACCCAAGGGGUUU
RNAcentral lists this ribosomal RNA (146 nucleotides) under Photobacterium damselae. RNAcentral's name for it is "partial 23S ribosomal RNA". The stretch from base 1 to 128 matches the Rfam family "Bacterial large subunit ribosomal RNA", at positions 2803 to 2925 of the family's 2925-position model. Lineage: Bacteria; Pseudomonadati; Pseudomonadota; Gammaproteobacteria; Vibrionales; Vibrionaceae. RNAcentral also lists the same sequence under 1 other name. The record is from RNAcentral.